This is a long non-coding RNA of Anthonomus grandis grandis, 604 nucleotides long. RefSeq lists it as uncharacterized. The record is from RefSeq and is a predicted model, not a curated record. NCBI's taxonomy places the organism in Eukaryota, Metazoa, Arthropoda, Insecta, Coleoptera, Curculionidae. The transcript has 2 exons.
CACAGUUUCCAACAUUACCCAUAAUCUAAUAUCUUCUACAAAGAUACUAGCAUGAUGCAAUGCUCUUAACCUGUAUAAAUCUUAACAUUUUGAUAAACCUAGUAACUCAGUGAGAAUGUCUAAAGCUAAUCCUUUUUUCAACGCAUCUCAAAUAAGAAGGAAAAUCUUGGAUCGGUAUGGCAUACAACUGUCAGUGAGAACUAUUAGGCGAAGAUUAAAUGAGGCCAACCUUCAAGGAUUUAUUGCUAAGAGGUUUAUGCAUGGUAAUGACCCAAAACAUUCAUCCCGGCUGACAAGAACCUUAAAGAUUAUGUGGUGGAUGUUUUGAAGUAGCCACCUCAAAGUCCCGACCUGAAUCUUAUCCAGAACCUCUGGGAUCGAGUAAAACGGGAUCUUUAAGGUCGAAAUCCCUCAAACAUAGAAGAAUUGUGGAUGAAUGUAAAAGAAGUUUACUCCUGUAUUCCAAAUAGCUAUUGCCAAGCCUUAGUAGAAUCUAUGCCUUUCAGAUUGCAAGCCGCGAUUAAAAAUAUUUUUCUAUAAGUUUGUUAUUUUUAUUUAAGGAACAUUAAUUUCUGGUUAAAAUAAACUAUGAUUAGAAACUGUA